Long non-coding RNA from Homo sapiens (human), 257 nucleotides. RefSeq lists it as uncharacterized. Lineage: Eukaryota; Metazoa; Chordata; Mammalia; Primates; Hominidae. The record is from RefSeq and is a predicted model, not a curated record. The transcript is spliced from 3 exons.
UGCACCUUAAUAAAGACCUGGCCCCACAGCUCUUCUCUCUGUCUCUUGCUCCCCACCCGUUGGUUGAGCUCCCUGCCACCUCUAGCCUUCCCGUCAGCCUCCUGUUGACACCCCUAACCUCUAUGUGAUCUGAUCAUGGCAUCUAUGUUGCUGCAAAGGACAUGCUUUCAUCCUAUUUAUGGCAGCACAGUAUUCCACGGUGACAUGUAACACAUCUUCAAACGGAGUCUCGCUCUGUUGCCCAAGCUGGAGUGCAG